RNAcentral lists this ribosomal RNA (254 nucleotides) under uncultured bacterium. RNAcentral describes it as "partial 16S ribosomal RNA". It matches the Rfam family "Bacterial small subunit ribosomal RNA", at positions 524 to 776 of the family's 1533-position model. The record is from RNAcentral.
GACGAACCGUGCGAACGUUAUUCGGAAUCACUGGGCUUAAAGCGCGUGUAGGCGGGCCGGCACGUCGGUGCCUGAAAGCCCCCGGCUCAACCGGGGAACUGGGGCCGAUACGGCCGGCCUGGAGGGGCGUAGGGGGACCUGGAACUUCCGGUGGAGCGGUGAAAUGCGUUGAGAUCGGAAGGAACGCCCGUGGCGAAAGCGAGGUCCUGGACGCCUGCUGACGCUGAGACGCGAAAGCCAGGGUAGCGAACGGG